RNAcentral lists this long non-coding RNA (222 nucleotides) under Salvia miltiorrhiza (redroot sage). Its description in RNAcentral is "long non-coding RNA (SMIL_LNC014143)". The record is from RNAcentral. Lineage: Eukaryota; Viridiplantae; Streptophyta; Magnoliopsida; Lamiales; Lamiaceae.
AUUUUACGCGGCCUAUAUAUCUACCGUAUUAAAAAUAAUCAAUUGCUCCAUAAAGCAACUGCAUGCACAAUUGCAUUUAUUAUGCAUGCGAUGUUAAUUUAGAUUUCAUCACAUUAAAUUCAUUUCCAUACCAAACUAUGCACAUGGACUUGAACUUUUUUAUUAUAUUGUCUCAAAGAAAACGCUAUAUAUAUGUCCUCUCCUGACCAGAUGAAGAAACAA